GUAGUCCACGCCGUAAACGGUGGGUACUAGGUGUGGGAAAUAACCAACAUUUUCCGUGCCGGCGCUAACGCAUUAAGUACCCCGCCUGGGGAGUACGGCCGCAAGGCUAAAACUCAAAGGAAUUGACGGGGACCCGCACAAGCAGCGGAGCAUGUUGCUUAAUUCGAUGCAACGCGAAGAACCUUACCUGGAUUGAACUACGCAGGAAAAGCCAUAGAGAUAUGGUGUCCUUCGGGGUCUGCGAUAGGUGGUGCAUGGCUGUCGUCAGCUCGUGUCGUGAGAUGUUGGGUUAAGUCCCGCAACGAGCGCAACCCUUGUCCUAUGUUGCUAACGCGUUAUGGCGAGGACUCGUAGGAGACCGCCGUGGUCAACACGGAGGAAGGUGGGGAUGACGUCAAGUCAUCAUGCCCCUUACGUCCAGGGCUGCAAACAUGCUACAAUGGCAAGUACAGAGGGCUGCUAAUCCGUGAGGAUGCGCGAAUCCCAAAAAGCUUGUCUCAGUUCGGAUUGAAGUCUGCAACUCGACUUCAUGAAGCUGGAGUUGCUAGUAAUCCCAGAUCAGCAUUGCUGGGGUGAAUACGUUCCCGGGUCUUGUACACACCGCCCGUCAAACCACGAAAGUCGGCAACACCCGAAGCCAGUGGCCUAACCGCAAGGAAGGAGCUGUCGAAGGUGGGGUUGGUGAUGGGGGGUU
This 694-nucleotide ribosomal RNA is filed under the name uncultured bacterium. RNAcentral describes it as "bacterial SSU rRNA". It matches the Rfam family "Bacterial small subunit ribosomal RNA", at positions 790 to 1483 of the family's 1533-position model. The record is from RNAcentral.